This 396-nucleotide ribosomal RNA is filed under the name Triticum aestivum (bread wheat). RNAcentral describes it as "partial small subunit ribosomal RNA". Lineage: Eukaryota; Viridiplantae; Streptophyta; Magnoliopsida; Poales; Poaceae. The record is from RNAcentral.
AUGAGGUGCUUAAGUUGGAACUGCCGGGGGCUUGGGAACCCCGAGGCAGUUCGUGAGCUUCGCAAUGACGUGAAGCAAGAAGGGCCUGCCCUACUUUUUGUGAUGGAAACAAAAAUAAGGGCGAAGAGGGUGGAGAGCUUACAGAACACUCUUGGUUUUGUUGGUAGUUUUGCGGUGGAUAGUGUGGGACUCAGUGGUGGCAUCGGGUUUUUUUGGUCAAGAGAUGUUACAGUUGAGUUACAAAACUUCAGUGCUGGACAUAUCGAUGUGAUAGUCCAGAAAGCUGAUCAGACCUCCCUGGCUUGGAGGUUUACGGGGUUCUAUGGGGCCCCAAGGAGUGAGGACCGGCAUCACAGCUGGAGAUGUUUACGUAACCUGCAUGCAGUGCAACAUUAG